RNAcentral lists this ribosomal RNA (253 nucleotides) under uncultured bacterium. RNAcentral's name for it is "partial 16S ribosomal RNA". It matches the Rfam family "Bacterial small subunit ribosomal RNA", at positions 524 to 776 of the family's 1533-position model. The record is from RNAcentral.
UACGGGGGGGGCAAGCGUUGUUCGGAAUUACUGGGCGUAAAGGGCUCGUAGGUGGCCAACUAAGUCAGACGUGAAAUCCCUCGGCUUAACCGGGGAACUGCGUCUGAUACUGGAUGGCUUGAGUUUGGGAGAGGGACGCGGAAUUCCAGGUGUAGCGGUGAAAUGCGUAGAUAUCUGGAGGAACACCCGUGGCGAAAGCGGCUCUCUGGAACGGUACUGACGCUGAGACGCGAAAGCGUGGGGAGCGAACAGG